UACGUAGGGUCCGAGCGUUUGUCCGGAAUUAUUGGGCGUAAAGGGCUCGUAGGCGGUUUGUCGCGUCGGGAGUGAAAACUCAGGGCUCAACCCUGAGCGUGCUUCCGAUACGGGCAGACUAGAGGUAUGCAGGGGGAGAACGGAAUUCCUGGUGUAGCGGUGGAAUGCGCAGAUAUCAGAAGGAACACCGGUGGCGAAGGCGGUUCUCUGGGCAUUACCUGACGCUGAGGAGCGAAAGCAUGGGGGAGCGAACAGG
This 256-nucleotide ribosomal RNA is filed under the name uncultured bacterium. RNAcentral describes it as "partial 16S ribosomal RNA". It matches the Rfam family "Bacterial small subunit ribosomal RNA", at positions 524 to 776 of the family's 1533-position model. The record is from RNAcentral.